This 731-nucleotide ribosomal RNA is filed under the name uncultured Colwellia sp. Its description in RNAcentral is "bacterial SSU rRNA". It matches the Rfam family "Bacterial small subunit ribosomal RNA", at positions 56 to 778 of the family's 1533-position model. Lineage: Bacteria; Pseudomonadati; Pseudomonadota; Gammaproteobacteria; Alteromonadales; Colwelliaceae. The record is from RNAcentral.
UGCGAGUCGAGCGGUAGCAUUUCUAGCUUGCUAGAAGAUGACGAGCGGCGGACGGGUGAGUAAUGCUUGGGAAUAUGCCUUUGAGUGGGGGACAACAGUUGGAAACGACUGCUAAUACCGCAUAACGUCUACGGACCAAAGGGGGGGAUCUUCGGACCUCUCGCUCAUUGAUUAGCCCAAGUGAGAUUAGCUAGUUGGUAAGGUAAUGGCUUACCAAGGCGACGAUCUCUAGCUGGUUUGAGUGGAUGAUCAGCCACACUGGGACUGAGACACGGCCCAGACUCCUACGGGAGGCGGCAGUGGGGAAUAUUGCACAAUGGGCGAAAGCCUGAUGCAGCCAUGCCGCGUGUGUGAAGAAGGCCUUCGGGUUGUAAAGCACUUUCAGUUGUGAGGAAAGGGGUGUAGUUAAUAGCUGCAUUCUGUGACGUUAACAACAGAAGAAGCACCGGCUAACUUCGUGCCAGCAGCCGCGGUAAUACGAGGGGUGCAAGCGUUAAUCGGAAUUACUGGGCGUAAAGCGUUCGUAGGCGGUCUAUUAAGCAAGAUGUGAAAGCCCAGGGCUCAACCUUGGAACUGCACUUUGAACUGGUAGACUAGAGUACUGUAGAGGGUGGUGGAAUUUCCAGUGUAGCGGUGAAAUGCGUAGAGAUCGGAGGGAACAUCAGUGGCGAACGCGGCCACCUGGACAGAUACUGACGCUGAGGAACGAAAGCGUGGGGAGCGAACAGGAU